CCCACAGCGACCACGGCCAGUGGGGUGGGGAGAAAGCGGCAGCGGGGCCGGGCGAGGCGGAGCUGCAGUGACAUGGCGGCUCCGCGUGAGCCGGGCCGCAGCCGAGCGGCGGUUACUCGCCGGUAGCGAUCCCCUGGGCCGCCCUUCACACGGGUGUCGGAAGCUGCAUAAUGAAAUAGAGACUGAUUCCACUGGAUUUUUGCCACACCUUGGGUACAAGAAGCCAUAAAACCUGAGAGAAAAUAAACAGAAAAUGCAUGAAAUUCAAACUGAAUUCCUUUAACAGCCCCUUUUCCCCACUGAUAGUUGCAAGACUAAAACUAGUCUAGAUCUUCCUACCUGGAAUUGUUUAGUGUACAGUAAUGAUUGUUCUUCCAAAUGGAUUUCAACACAUGUGAUGGAAGGAAUUUUUCUUCCCUUUUAUCUUACCUCCUCUGAUGGGAAAAUUACCCCCCUGCUGUGAGUUACAACAGGGCAGUUAACCAUUACAAAAGGAGCAAUUUCAGGGUGAAAGAAGUCAAAUAUGCUACUGUUACUGGUUAACAGUUAAAUUUCUUUCCUUGCUGCUGGUUUUCUUCUAACUAAUAAAGGGGAGAACCAAGCAUUUACCAUCCUCAAAUUAAUACUGUUUAACAUUGAUCUAUUGCAACCUGAAAUGAAAAUUUGUAUUAAAAAUAUGCUUAUGUGUAAAAACAAAAAAAUGCUGGUGACCUUCACGCUGUUCUGCAGUCAAGUAGUGAUACAUCAACUAUCUGCUAUUUUGUGCCAGAUUCUACCACUUCUGGUGAUCUUAGGCCUAAUUUGCAAUCACACAUCAUCUUUGGCAUAGGAAUAAGCCACUGAAUAUUUUGCUUGUGCAUCCAUUUCAAUCCUCGUGCCACUCCAAAAUACUGUUGGUCUUUGCCUGUGGCCAUGCUAGUUACAAUCACCUUUGUGGACUGCAAUAAAAUAUGGUAUCAGCACACCGCUAGCCUCAAAGCAGCCUAGAACUGGCGGGCAAAAUCUUUCUCCAAAACUAGGAGUAUAUUCUGAAUCCUUUGAAGGAUUGCAAUGCAGAAUUUUGCCCAUUGUUUAACCUUUACAUAGCUAAUAGCUAUUCCUCUGAAGACUUUGUCUUUCAAAUUCAGCUGCUUGCAUUUCUGCCCCCUAUCCCCCCUACUUGUGCUACAGUGGAAUCUCACCACUUUAUUGCUCUUAAGGCAACACCUUCAAAUUCAGCCCCUGAAGAGCACUCAUGGGCCCACCAUGGGCUACAGAGCUCACCAUUUCACACCGACCUUUUCAGAACAAUACCUUUUAUUUUCUUCAGUAAUAGGAAUAAACCAAAACAAACCCAGAGUCUUUCCAGUGCAGUAUAAAGUCAGCACAUUUUCCAUCUUGCCUAAGUACAACCGCUGCCUGAAAGCUAAGAAAAGCUCAAACACUUCAGCCUGUGAUGGCACAGUCUUCAUCCAUGAGAAUAUGCUCCUUCUAGCCUUUCCAGGGCCUGACCUCCCCACUAUUGUUUUAGUUUCUAAGCUAUCUGCUAUCACAUUCUCAACAGUAAUGAGACAAGCUGCUGAACCCACUGACACAAUUAAGAUAAAUGCAGAGACACAUAAUUUUUUUAUGAUGGAGUAAUGUCAGACCUCUCAUCUUACUUGAGGUUGAUGCACAAGACCACGUCAGUCGGGUUGUGUGUGGGUUGUGUGUCAGGAUCAUGAUGAACUUGAGGCUGCGCAACAAGCACACUCCCUGUGAUGAGAACAGAGCCAUAGCAUAGUGACAUAGCAUCAAACAGGGUCACUUUUUCUGCAGCAAAAUGCCAUGAGGUCUCUGCCAUUUCCGGACCAGGAAAGAUUUUGCAGCUUGUUGCAGGUCCCUGACAACGCUUAGUGACAGCAAAACAUGAGGAUGGGAACAUGUCCUAGUGCUGAAGAAAAGACCAAUAGAAUGUACAGAACGGGUAAAGAUAAUGUUUCUAAACACAGAGAACGAAAUUCAGCUUGCUCUAUUGCACGCAGUGCCGAGAAUCACAAUAACUACACCUUUGUGCAGUUUAUCUAAAAAUCAGACUAAGCAAUAGCAGCCGCUUUCUUCCCUGUUGUAAUUCUGGGGUAAUCGGACUGUCUGCAUUGACAGUACAUAAAUACCAGGUGGUUCAACUCUCAUGCACACACACAAACUGGAGGAAACAAAAUACUGAUGUACUGAUGCAGUUGUAAAUUUUAAAGCCCAUGUCGUAGCAAUUUCACCUACUUAUACAAUUGCCAGAUCAAAAACUUCUUAGAAUACCAGGAUCAAUUAUUUUUGCUUAGACAAUUUGCAUUAGACAAUCACAGUUUAAGCUAUGGCUUUUGAUGACACAGGUGUUUCUAACAGUAUUCUUGAGGCAGCUGAGAUGAUAAAGGGUUACACAGGGAAAAGGCUUUGGCAAACACUUAGAGGCACCUGAGGAAAUGGUACUCCAUGGAGAAACAAAUUCCAGGUGGUUAGCUCAAGUAGGGAAAAAGUUGAACAAUACCUUUCAUGUGGUCUUGCAGUCAUCUCUUCUUGGCAAAGGUUUCUCAGUGUGUUACUGUGGUCACCUUUGAUCAAGGUACCUGAGGUUAUCAAUUGAGUAUUCCUGAUUCAUUCACAUAAGAUAAAUUAUUCUAAAUAUGAAUAUUAUGUAUUUUAAGUUUUCCAUGGGGUCUUUCCUUUUCUUUCUCUCUGUUCAGCUGCACUCGUCACCCACUAGACACUCAUCUACUGUCUGGAAGCAAACAUGGUUUUUUGGUUAAUCUGUUUUUUGGGUUUUGGUUGGGGUUUUGUUUGUUUUUUCCUCAACAUGAAUAAAAUGGGGGUCCUGUGAGCAUUUCUUUUAGGAGAAGAAACAGGUAAUAUGUUCAGGCACAUCCUUGUAUACAAACAGGAUCGAAUAAAUGUACAAAUCAUACACUAGAAGAUAAUUUCUCUGUAGACAGACAUCUAUAUGCCUUUCUACCAUAAUUUUACCAAAAAGUUCUCUGAGCUUUACUUCAGUAUAGAUUUAUAAGGACUCCUCUGAUGAUACCUACGCUUUCCUUCUCAUUCUGUGUGUUUUUUCUUUGGAAUUUCUGCUCUUUCUCUUCCACAUACCCCAGCUGCAAUCAGACCAGUCCCUCACGUCUGCACUGACAUUCAGCUGACAGUGGAACUAGUUGCUCACAUAAUUCAACCUCACAAAUGGCUUCUGAUUUGGAUGGCAAUUUCAUGGCUAAGCAAGCCUGUGCAGGAACUAUCAUCUCAUUUUGGCUGAACAGAGAACAUGCCUGUUUCUGUCAAUGAGCUUCUUCCACAAACAGCAGAUGAGCUUGACUCAUUAUUUUUUUUAUUAAAUACAGCAAACUGCUCCCGAAGGUUGGCACUGCAGGCCAGGCGGGAUACCUGGCACGUGCGGACAGCAGAAGCAACAAGCAGCUUAUUGGUAUGUAGAGCUGCAGUAAAUAGAUGGCAGUGCUAGAUCUCCAGUUAUCUUUUGUCAGCAGCAGUAUAAAAUUAGACAUUCUGUCUGUGCCUCAUCAGUUAACCCCGGCUCACACCAAUGCAUUGCCUUCACCUCUAAAGACAGAGGUGAUAUUUGGUUAUUGUCUACCCUUCCGACAACUAUGAUGAUGACUGUUCAUGCAGCUACAAUGAGAUACAAUACCAAUACUUACUGGUAUACUGACCUAUUAUACCAUACGUAUCAAAGUUCGUAUCAACAUAUAUUCAGUGUGAAGUUAUGUCGUCUUAUUUCCAACAUGUCUGUUGUGUAAGCAGCCAGAAUAACAGAUGGACAAAGGAAAACAAACAGAUCAACCCGGUAUCUUUUCCCUUUUUUUACUGAAGAGCGUGAAAUGUCAGCUGUGUGAGACUUACUGCAAAUUCAUUAAAUGUAAAUUUCUGGCA
This is a long non-coding RNA of Grus americana (Whooping crane), 3891 nucleotides long. RefSeq lists it as uncharacterized. The record is from RefSeq and is a predicted model, not a curated record. NCBI's taxonomy places the organism in Eukaryota, Metazoa, Chordata, Aves, Gruiformes, Gruidae. The transcript is spliced from 2 exons.